Non-coding RNA from Podarcis lilfordi (Lilford's wall lizard), 79 nucleotides. The record is from the annotation of a GenBank genome assembly. Lineage: Eukaryota; Metazoa; Chordata; Lepidosauria; Squamata; Lacertidae.
GCCUGCGAGCUGCCUGCUCAGGCGGUAGAGCAUGAACCUCUUAAUCUCAAGGUUGCAGGUUUGAGCCCCACGUUGGGCA